UCAUCUACAUGUUUUUAGGGU
RNAcentral lists this non-coding RNA (21 nucleotides) under Arabidopsis thaliana (thale cress). Lineage: Eukaryota; Viridiplantae; Streptophyta; Magnoliopsida; Brassicales; Brassicaceae. The record is from RNAcentral.